GCCAGGCGUGGUGGUGCAUGCCUGUAAUCCCAGCUACUUGAGAGGCUGAGGCAGGAGAAUCACUUGAACCCAGGAAGUGGAGGUUGCAGUGAGCCGAGAUCACGCCACUGCAUUCCCGCCUGGGUGACAGAGUGAGACUCUGUCUUAA
Macaca fascicularis (crab-eating macaque) is the source of this 148-nucleotide unclassified non-coding RNA. It matches the Rfam family "Metazoan signal recognition particle RNA". Rfam says of the family: The signal recognition particle (SRP) is a universally conserved ribonucleoprotein. It is involved in the co-translational targeting of proteins to membranes. The eukaryotic SRP consists of a 300-nucleotide 7S RNA and six proteins: SRPs 72, 68, 54, 19, 14, and 9. NCBI's taxonomy places the organism in Eukaryota, Metazoa, Chordata, Mammalia, Primates, Cercopithecidae. The record is from Ensembl.